This 453-nucleotide ribosomal RNA is filed under the name uncultured bacterium. Its description in RNAcentral is "bacterial SSU rRNA". It matches the Rfam family "Bacterial small subunit ribosomal RNA", at positions 28 to 493 of the family's 1533-position model. The record is from RNAcentral.
GAUGAACGCUGGCGGCGUGCUUAACACAUGCAAGUCGAACGAUUGAAGCUGGAGCUUGCUCCGGCCGAUUUAGUGGCGGACGGGUGAGUAACGCGUGGGUAACCUGCCUCAUACAGGGGGAUAGCAGUUGGAAACGACUGGUAAAACCACAUAAGCGCACGGUGUCGCAUGACACAGUGUGAAAACACUCCGGUGGUAUGAGAUGGACCCGCGUCUGAUUAGCUAGUUGGCGAGGUAACGGCCCACCAAGGCAACGAUCAGUAGCCGGCCUGAGAGGGUGAACGGCCACAUUGGGACUGAGACACGGCCCAAACUCCUACGGGAGGCAGCAGUGGGGAAUAUUGCACAAUGGGGGAAACCCUGAUGCAGCGACGCCGCGUGAGUGAUGAAGUAUUUCGGUAUGUAAAGCUCUAUCAGCAGGGAAGAUAAUGACGGUACCUGACUAAGAAGCAC